Molecule: long non-coding RNA, 375 nt
Organism: Myripristis murdjan (pinecone soldierfish)
Lineage: Eukaryota; Metazoa; Chordata; Actinopteri; Holocentriformes; Holocentridae
Exons: 3
Source: RefSeq, a predicted model, not a curated record
GUUUCAUCGCUGACCCUGUCUAUGCGAUGACGGUUCUACGUCCACAACACAAGACAAGACAUACGGGCUCAUCACUGCACCCAGAUCAGUUCAACAUUCAUUGUUUCUCCCAGAGACUCUGUUCCCACCUGAAAUAAAACCAAGCUGUAGCUGAAACCACUGCCAGGAAACUGCAACAGAAACCUGGUACAGCAUCAGGUGAGCUCCUGUCUUAGUGAGGGCAGCUGAGCUCCUCCUGCUCCCCUGCAGCGCCCCCUGCAGCUCUUCCUGCUCCCCUGCAGCGCCCCCUGCAGGCGGACAGUCUGUGUGUUUCUUCAUGAAGCAGCUGCUCUUCACUUUGAUCUGAUCAUCAGCUGAGAGGCACACAGGAGAGUU